Molecule: ribosomal RNA, 475 nt
Filed under: uncultured bacterium
Lineage: Bacteria
Description: bacterial SSU rRNA
Rfam family: Bacterial small subunit ribosomal RNA
Source: RNAcentral
AGAGUUUGAUCAUGGCUCAGAUUGAACGCUGGCGGCAUGCUUAAUACAUGCAAGUCGAACGGUAACAGAUUCUUCGGAAUGCUGACGAGUGGCGGACGGGUGAGUAAUACAUAGGAAUCUGCCCAUGUAGUGGGGGACAACUUGGGGAAACUCAAGCUAAUACCGCAUAAUUCCUACGGGAUAAAGAGGGCCACUGCUUGCAAGCUCUUGCUACUGGAUGAGCCUAUGUCGGAUUAGUUAGUUGGUAAGGUAAUGGCUUACCAAGACAGCGAUCCGUAGCUGGUUUGAGAGGAUGAUCAGCCACACUGGGACUGAGACACGGCCCAGACUCCUACGGGGGGCAGCAGUAGGGAGUAUUGGACAAUGGGCGCAAGCCUGAUCCAGCAAUGCCGCGUGUGUGAAGAAGGCCUGCGGGUUGUAAAGCACUUUCAAUUGGGAAGAAAGAUUAUGAGUUAAUACCUUAUAAUAUUGACGU